Molecule: ribosomal RNA, 494 nt
Filed under: uncultured bacterium
Lineage: Bacteria
Description: partial 16S ribosomal RNA
Rfam family: Bacterial small subunit ribosomal RNA
Source: RNAcentral
GACGAACGCUGGCGGCGUGCUUAACACAUGCAAGUCGAACGGUGAAGCGCCUUCCUUUUUGGUGGGUGUGGAUGAGUGGCGAACUGGUGAGUAACACGUGAGUAACCUGCCCCCUUCUUCUGGAUAACCGCAUGAAAGUGUGGCUAAUACGGGAUAUUCUGGGUCUGUCGCAUGAUGGGUCUGGGACAGAUAUUGUUUCGGUGGGGGAUGGGCUCGCGGCCUAUCAGCUUGUUGGUGGGGUGAUGGCCUACCAAGGCGGUGACGGGUAGCCGGCCUGAGAGGGUGGACGGUCACACUGGGAAGGAGACACGGCCCAGACUCCUACGGGAGGCAGCAGGGGGGAAUAUUGCACAAUGGGCGCAAGGCUGAUGCAGCGACGCCGCGGGAGGGAUGGAGGCCUUCGGGUUGUGAACCUCUUUCGCCAGUGAAGCAGGGCUGCCUCGUGUGUGGGUGGGUUGACGGUAGCUGGAUAAGAAGCGCCGGCUAACUACGUG